This 498-nucleotide ribosomal RNA is filed under the name uncultured bacterium. Its description in RNAcentral is "partial 16S ribosomal RNA". It matches the Rfam family "Bacterial small subunit ribosomal RNA", at positions 30 to 523 of the family's 1533-position model. The record is from RNAcentral.
AUUGAACGCUGGCGGCAUGCCUUACACAUGCAAGUCGAACGGUAACAGGUCUUCGGAUGCUGACGAGUGGCGAACGGGUGAGUAAUACAUCGGAACGUGCCUAGUAGUGGGGGAUAACUACUCGAAUGAGUGGCUAAUACCGCAUGAGAUCUACGGAUGAAAGCAGGGGAUCGCAAGACCUUGUGCUACUAGAGCGGCCGAUGGCAGAUUAGGUAGUUGGUGGGAUAAAAGCUUACCAAGCCGACGAUCUGUAGCUGGUCUGAGAGGACGAUCAGCCACACUGGGACUGAGAAACGGCCCAGACUCCUACGGGAGGCAGCAGUGGGGAAUUUUGGACAAUGGGCGCAAGCCUGAUCCAGCAAUGCCGCGUGCAGGAUGAAGGCCUUCGGGUUGUAAACUGCUUUUGUACGGAGCGAAAAGCCCCGGGUUAAUACCCUGGGGUCAUGACGGUACCGUAAGAAUAAGCACCGGCUAACUACGUGCCAGCAGCCGCGGUAA